CCGAAAUCAUUCUGACCUUUUCUUACAAAAGUUAUUGUAUCUCAUGAUUUACAAUUCCAUUGCUUACAUAAUUUAUUUUAUAAGAAACUAGACUCAAUAAGCUUUAAUUUCAUAUUUUAUUCAUCCUCUAAUUCGAUUUAUACAAUUUUUGGUGAUUUUUCAAAUUUAAAUUACUGCUGCUGCCCAAAACAGUUUUAGUGCAAAAUGUUGAUUUCCAUUUUACCCCAAAUUUCACAAUUUAUACAAUUCAGCCCUUGCUCAAUUAACC
Molecule: long non-coding RNA, 268 nt
Filed under: Gossypium barbadense (sea-island cotton)
Lineage: Eukaryota; Viridiplantae; Streptophyta; Magnoliopsida; Malvales; Malvaceae
Description: long non-coding RNA (GBAR_LNC012123)
Source: RNAcentral